This 321-nucleotide long non-coding RNA is filed under the name Helianthus annuus (common sunflower). RNAcentral describes it as "sRNA HanXRQr2_Chr07g0296321". The record is from RNAcentral. Lineage: Eukaryota; Viridiplantae; Streptophyta; Magnoliopsida; Asterales; Asteraceae.
UUGGAUCGAACAGAAGGCAGGGGCGACAAAGGGUUUCCUUCAAACCCUAGUUUACACACAAAAUCCUUAAAUUGAAGCCUCAAAUCUGCCCUAAAUCAAGUCUUGAACAUGAAUUAGUGAUCACCUCGUUGUAGGGAUCAAAAAGGUAAAGAAUCCGGGUCGUCAAGUGGACAAGCCGGAGGUGAUACACGCUUAAAGGGUGCGCUUUGAAGCAUGGUAAAGAUGCUCUUUAGACCCCGGAGGAUGAUCAAGCCAUGUCAAGAACCGAACACACCGAACAAAGCUUCCGCAUUUUGUCUAUUUUGUUUUAGUGACAUGUAA